GUUCGACGAUUUUUCUCUGAAGGCACAAGUUGCUGCUAUGUUGAUUCAACCUUUGGGUAGCAUUCUGAUUAAAGUGAUUUGGUUUCUUUUUUCAACCUUUGGGUUGUAUUCUGAUGGAAGUGAUUUUGUUCUUCCAAUCUAUGUGUAGAAUGUUCUGUUUGUGGAGCAAGUAGGCGAACCAUUGGAGCGACGUGAUACUCCAUAUUGGCAUAAUCCCACUAAAUAGCAUGGUUAAUGAUUCCGAUUUUAGCAUCUAAUAAUUUUUCCAAUUACUUACAACUCUUAUUCAUAUAUGGUUAUUUGCUGUAAUGUACAGAACAUUUUUCAUAUAUCAUGACCCUUUGCAGUGUUUAUUUGGAACACAGGAUUCCUAAUUUUUGGACCUGUACACAACCAGAUUUUGGGGAUUUAUAAUGUGAGUGAGUUAUUAUGUUACUUGAAUCGGUGUACGUAACCUGGUUUUGUUGGGGCUUGGUUUUCAGUGAUUCCAACAGAGAUUAUGGAUGACAGCAGACAACAUUGCAGAUACGUUGCAGCUGGGCACCCUGAUCAGGUUUCCUUUUUGGUAAUUUUUGGAGAUCAUAGAUGAUAUUAAUAUCAUAGUUGUACUGCAAUUUGCAAGGUUUCUUGUGUUUGUGUGUACAAAUAGAUCGAAUCCAAUUCAAGUGACUUUGAUUAAUUUCCUUUUCAAAGUUAUUGUUGGGCAGCUAUUGACCUCUAUAAUACAUUUAUUUUCACUUCUCUUUUGCUCCCAGGAAAUCUGGUCCAAGCCCCACUACAGUUUUAUAUAAGGAUGUUGGAGGCAGCAUCGGAAGAGACAAGUCUGCGGGAAUCUUGUCCAAACUCCACAUCGCUGUCACCGAACAAAGUUGGAGGUACAAUUGAAAGAGACCAGCCAGAUUCUUGUUCCGGGUAUUAAAAAGAAAACCUGGCUAGAGAUUUCAUGCCAUGUCAUUCCAUUUAUGUUUGCUUGUGUGCUUAUCAUAUCUGAUUACAUGAUUGACAUUUAUUUCAUAAUUAGUAUAUACUUUGACACAUGAUAUGUUUUGCUUUAUUUAUGAACAACAGGAUACGUUUACUUUUUGUGAUCAUAUAAGUGAACAAACAUAGCCAAUGGUUAAAGUUUAUAUCUACUAUGUAUGUAUAUUUUUCAUUCACACAUGUCUCACUGCCUUUUAAGCACUUAAGAGAGCAGAACUGGAGAUUGCUCUCAUUAAAUGUGAACAAAAUUGAUGUUCUUUUUUUUGCAAAAUAGUAAAUACUGUGUUCUCUUGAUUGUUUUUUUGUCUUUUCAGUUUACCUGAAUCUAAGAAGUCCGACCAUCAAUUAAUGAGAGAUUUUUGCUUCUAUCAUUCAUGGAACCAUUGAAAUGAAAUACAUACCUUGGCU
Triticum aestivum (bread wheat) is the source of this 1389-nucleotide long non-coding RNA. RefSeq lists it as uncharacterized. Lineage: Eukaryota; Viridiplantae; Streptophyta; Magnoliopsida; Poales; Poaceae. The record is from RefSeq and is a predicted model, not a curated record. The transcript is spliced from 3 exons.